RNAcentral lists this ribosomal RNA (454 nucleotides) under uncultured bacterium. Its description in RNAcentral is "SSU rRNA". It matches the Rfam family "Bacterial small subunit ribosomal RNA", at positions 26 to 518 of the family's 1533-position model. The record is from RNAcentral.
AGGAUUAACGCUGGCGGUGUGCCUAAUACAUGCAAGUCGAACGAGUCCCGCCUCGGCGGGACUAGUGGCGGACGGGUGAGUAACACGUUGGUACCUGCCCCAAAGUGGGGGAUAACUGCCCGAAAGGGUAGCUAAUACCGCAUGUGGUCUUCGGACUAAAGCCUUCGGGCGCUUUGGGAGGGGCCUGCGUCUGAUUAGCUAGUUGGUAGGGUAAUGGCCUACCAAGGCGACGAUCAGUAGCUGGUUCGAGAGGAUGACCAGCCACACGUGGACUGAGAUACGGCCACGACUCCUACGGGAGGCAGCAGUAAGGAAUCUUCCACAAUGGACGAAAGUCUGAUGGAGCAACACCGCGUGCAGGAUGACGGCUUUCGGGUUGUAAACUGCUUUUAUAGAGGAAGAUUAUGACGGUACUCUAUGAAUAAGGACCGGCUAACUACGUGCCAGCAGCCGC